ACUGCAUGAUUUAUUUGCCCUGGCUGCAGCCGAGAUGUGGGAAAAGCAAAAAGUACAGCCAGCAUGCAGAGCUUCUCUGCACACAGACCCAGUUUAACCACUUUGAUGCAAAACCCUAGCCCCACCCCUUAUAAUGAUGCCCUUUGUCUGCUGCACAAACCUCUCCCAAUCUCUUCUCCAGUCUUUGGCCCGAGAUGGAACUGACAACUUCCUGUCCAUGCUUGGUUCACAUUUCAUGUUCUUUACAUAAAGCUUUUCCCAUUUUAGUAUCAUGACAGGCAGAAGGUGCUCUUUUCCUGAACUGAAGAUCCCCUGGAGGAGGGCAUGCUAACCCACUCCAGUAUACUUGCCAACCCGCUCCAGUAUUCUUGCCUGGAGAAUCUCAUGGACAGAGGAGCCUGGUGGGCUACAGUCCAUGGGGUCGCAGAGUCGGAAACAACUGAGCAACAAAGCAGACAGACACAAGUUUCCAAGGCCCCCUCGUUACAUGUGAUACACCUGGAUGAGAAUAGAAUCUCUAAGUCCCCCAGAAAUACUUGAAGAGUAUUUCACAGAAACACUUCUGUGAAAUCUCAAGAAGGACAACAAGUUACCAGGAAGGGAGCUGUGCCAUGGUGCCACUGUGUCUCUGUUGUUGGUCUGGCAUGUUUGUGGAAUCCCGUUCCAUACGGUCUGACGCCAAGUGUACACCAGUCCAAGGUUUCUUUUGUUCAUCCCUGAACCUCAUAUAGACCUACCAGGUAUCUUCGGGUAUGAUUCAGUGCUUCUGGACAUGCCAUGAUAGAGAAGAUUCCCACCCUUCCACAUUCUAAGACAGCAGGAAGCUUAUUUUCCCAUGCUAUCAGAACACAUGCUAAUUCCCACUCUAAUUGCACUAUUCA
Long non-coding RNA from Cervus elaphus (red deer), 881 nucleotides. RefSeq lists it as uncharacterized. Lineage: Eukaryota; Metazoa; Chordata; Mammalia; Artiodactyla; Cervidae. The record is from RefSeq and is a predicted model, not a curated record. The transcript has 3 exons.